CAGAAGGAGGAGAAGCGAGGGGAAAAGUUGCCACACACACACCCCCGGGGAGGGCGAGGGAGGGAGAAAAGGGGGGAGGGAGAAGGAGCUAGGGGGCCACAACCACCACAACUCUGGGAGAGAAGAGAAGAGAAAGGGACAGAAGGGGGGAAAGGAGGUGAGGGUGAGAGAGCGAGCGAGCGCAAAAGGGGCGAGCGAGAGAGGCGCUCUGGAGAGAAACGCACAAAAGUGUCCCGCAAGUCGAAAUAGUGAAGCUGCAAAGCUGAGAAGACUUGAAUGGCCUUAUAUCUUCAAAGAAGUGCCUUGAGCUCUGGAAUGCCACAGAGUGGGAGAAACCACCGAACACCAGGAAAUGUCAACAAUGUGACAGGAACGCCUGGGCAGGCCUCCACUUUUAUAGGAGAAUUGUUAGCUUUUAUGCAAAAAGAAGAAGCAACAAGUAUAUCUUCUCAAGGGGCUCCCCUGGUGGCUCAGAUGGUAAAGAGUCUGCCUGUCAUGUGGGAGAUCCAGGUCGUAUCCCUGGAUUAGGAAGAUCCCCUGGAGAAGGGAUUGGCAACCCACUCCAGUAUUCUUGACUGGAGAAUUCCAUGGACAGAGGAGUCUGGUGGGCUACAGUCCAUGGAGUCAUGAAGAAUCAGACACAACUGAACGACUAAUGAUUUCAUUAUCUUCUCAAAGAGCGUUCAUGACCUGGUCAUCUGCUUGCAUUAAAGCAAACUAGAUCUCUGUUCUCUGCUUCAAUUUCUUCCAAAUAUCCUGUAUAUUGGUAAUGCUGGAGGACACAAGCAUGAAGAAAAUUUAUAAUCUUGAUCACUUUCCCCAAAUGUAACGUAAUGAACCUCACUUGCAGAGUUCACAGCAUCGAUUCUCCUGAUGCAUAGAAACAGAGCUCACUUUCUCUUUUUAAUUUAAAUAAACUAUUGAGAUCUCCUAUUGUAUUUCUUUUA
Molecule: long non-coding RNA, 947 nt
Organism: Bos indicus x Bos taurus (hybrid cattle)
Lineage: Eukaryota; Metazoa; Chordata; Mammalia; Artiodactyla; Bovidae
Source: Ensembl